AACGAACGCUGGCGGCAUGCCUAACACAUGCAAGUCGAACGGACCCUUCGGGGUUAGUGGCGCACGGGUGCGUAACGCGUGGGAAUCUGCCCUUUGCUUCGGAAUAACAGUUAGAAAUGACUGCUAAUACCGGAUGAUGUCUUCGGACCAAAGAUUUAUCGGCAAAGGAUGAGCCCGCGUAGGAUUAGGUAGUUGGUGGGGUAAAGGCCUACCAAGCCGACGAUCCUUAGCUGGUCUGAGAGGAUGAUCAGCCACACUGGGACUGAGACACGGCCCAGACUCCUACGGGAGGCAGCAGUGGGGAAUAUUGGACAAUGGGCGCAAGCCUGAUCCAGCAAUGCCGCGUGAGUGAUGAAGGCCUUCGGGUCGUAAAGCUCUUUUACCAGGGAUGAUAAUGACAGUACCUGGAG
This 410-nucleotide ribosomal RNA is filed under the name Sphingomonas sp. oral taxon A66. RNAcentral describes it as "bacterial SSU rRNA". It matches the Rfam family "Bacterial small subunit ribosomal RNA", at positions 29 to 484 of the family's 1533-position model. The record is from RNAcentral. Lineage: Bacteria; Pseudomonadati; Pseudomonadota; Alphaproteobacteria; Sphingomonadales; Sphingomonadaceae.